This 492-nucleotide ribosomal RNA is filed under the name uncultured bacterium. RNAcentral's name for it is "partial 16S ribosomal RNA". It matches the Rfam family "Bacterial small subunit ribosomal RNA", at positions 29 to 507 of the family's 1533-position model. The record is from RNAcentral.
AGUGAACGCUGGCGGUAGGCCUAACACAUGCGAGUCGAACGGCAGCACAGUAAGAGCUUGCUCUUACGGGUGGCGAGUGGCGGACGGGUGAGGAAUACAUCGGAAUCUACUUUUUCGUGGGGGAUAACGUAGGGAAACUUACGCUAAUACCGCAUACGACCUACGGGUGAAAGCAGGGGAUCUUCGGACCUUGCGCGAUUGAAUUAGCCGAUGUCGGAUUAGCUAGUUGGCGGGGUAAAGGCCCACCAAGGCGACGAUCCGUAGCUGGCCUGAGAGGAUGAUCAGCCACACUGGAACUGAGACACGGUCCAGACUCCUACGGGAGGCAGCAGUGGGGAAUAUUGGACAAUGGGCGCAAGCCUGAUCCAGCCAUACCGCGUGGGUGAAGAAGGCCUUCGGGUUGUAAAGCCCUUUUGUUGGGAAAGAAAAGCAGCAGGUUAAUACCCCGCUGUUCUGACGGUACCCAAAGAAUAAGCACCGGCUAACUUCGUG